This 921-nucleotide long non-coding RNA is filed under the name Strigops habroptila (Kakapo). RNAcentral's name for it is "lncRNA (ENSSHBG00005013270.1)". Lineage: Eukaryota; Metazoa; Chordata; Aves; Psittaciformes; Psittacidae. The record is from RNAcentral.
GGGCCGAGCCGGGGCGGCGGGGGAGCGCCGCGUCCCGCAGCCGCCGGGCCACGCCUGGCCGCCGUGAGCCGGGCACCGGCACCGGGACCUGCACCGGGACCCCUCACCCUGCGCCGGGGCAGCCGGCUGCUCCCCUCCGCGCUGCGCCGCCCUCACCAGGUCCAUGGAGUGACCCCGUGGGGGGGUCCCUGCACCGGCGCAGCCCCCGGCCGCCGGCCCGGCGCUGAGCGAGGCCGCCGCGAACAUGAGCGACUUCUGGCACAAGCUGGGCUGCUGCGUCGUGGAGAAGCCACAGCCGAAGAAGAGGAGGAGACGGAUCGACCGCUCCAUGAUUGGAGAACCCAUGAACUUCGUCCACCUGACGCACAUCGGCUCCGGAGACAUGGCUGCGGGUGAAGGCCUGCCCAUGACUGGUGCUGUCCAGGAGAUGAGAUCCAAGGGUGGACGGGAGCGACAGUGGAACAACUCCCGGGUCUUGUAGCAUGUCCAGCUUACGGACGGCUUCAGCUCCUGGUUGUUGUGGCUGCAGCUCAUUUGCAGCUUCAGGCCCAGCCCCUGGAUGGCUCCAGCUCGUGUCCAUCUCCAGCCCCUCCUCAGCUCCAACUCCGGUCCCAGCCAGCUCCAGCCUGUGCCUGAACUGGGCCUGGCUCGGGGCCGGGUCCCGUGGUUUGAGCCCAGCCGGUAACUCAGAACCACGCAGCUGCUCGAUCACCCCCCGCUUCUUGCCCCCCUGCUCCCGGAGGGAUGGGGAGGAGAAUGGAAAGAAUGUAAAUCCCAUGGGUUGAGAUAAGAGCAGUCCAGUAACUAAGGUACAAUACAAAACCACUACUGCUGCCACCAAUAAUGAUAAGGGAAAUAACAAGGGGAGAGAAUAUAAAACUAAAAGGGGAAAAGAAAACAAUAAACACAAGUGAUGCCCAA